Molecule: ribosomal RNA, 506 nt
Filed under: uncultured bacterium
Lineage: Bacteria
Description: partial 16S ribosomal RNA
Rfam family: Bacterial small subunit ribosomal RNA
Source: RNAcentral
AUUGAACGCUGGCGGCAGGCCUAACACAUGCAAGUCGAGCGGCAGCGGAAAGUAGCUUGCUACUUUGCCGGCGAGCGGCGGACGGGUGAGUAGUGUCUGGGAAACUGCCUGAUGGAGGGGGAUAACUACUGGAAACGGUAGCUAAUACCGCAUAAUGUCGCAAGACCAAAGAGGGGGACCUUCGGGCCUCUUGCCAUCAGAUGUGCCCAGAUGGGAUUAGCUAGUAGGUGGGGUAACGGCUCACCUAGGCGACGAUCCCUAGCUGGUCUGAGAGGAUGACCAGCCAAACUGGAACUGAGACACGGUCCAGACUCCUACGGGAGGCAGCAGUGGGGAAUAUUGCACAAUGGGCGCAAGCCUGAUGCAGCCGUGCCGCGUGUAUGAAGAAGGCCUUCGGGUUGUAAAGUACUUUCAGCGGGGAGGAAGGUGUUGAGGUUAAUAACCUCAGCAAUUGACGUUACCCGCAGAAGAAGCACCGACUAACUCCGUGCCAGCCGCCGCCGUAA